GUAGAACGCUGAAGAGAGGAGCUUGCUCUUCUUGGAUGAGUUGCGAACGGGUGAGUAACGCGUAGGUAACCUGCCUUGUAGCGGGGGAUAACUAUUGGAAACGAUAGCUAAUACCGCAUAACAAUGGAUGACACAUGUCAUUUAUUUGAAAGGGGCAAUUGCUCCACUACAAGAUGGACCUGCGUUGUAUUAGCUAGUAGGUGAGGUAACGGCUCACCUAGGCGACGAUACAUAGCCGACCUGAGAGGGUGAUCGGCCACACUGGGACUGAGACACGGCCCAGACUCCUACGGGAGGCAGCAGUAGGGAAUCUUCGGCAAUGGGGGCAACCCUGACCGAGCAACGCCGCGUGAGUGAAGAAGGUUUUCGGAUCGUAAAGCUCUGUUGUAAGUCAAGAACGAGUGUGAGAGUGGAAAGUUCACACUGUGACGGUAGCUUACCAGAAAGGGACGGCUAACUACGUGCCAGCAGCCGCGGUAAUACGUAGGUCCCGAGCGUUGUCCGGAUUUAUUGGGCGUAAAGCGAGCGCAGGCGGUUUGAUAAGUCUGAAGUUAAAGGCUGUGGCUCAACCAUAGUUCGCUUUGGAAACUGUCAAACUUGAGUGCAGAAGGGGAGAGUGGAAUUCCAUGUGUAGCGGUGAAAUGCGUAGAUAUAUGGAGGAACACCGGUGGCGAAAGCGGCUCUCUGGUCUGUAACUGACGCUGANGCUCGAAAGCGUGGGGAGCGAACAGGAUUAGAUACCCUGG
RNAcentral lists this ribosomal RNA (746 nucleotides) under Streptococcus sp. C165. Its description in RNAcentral is "bacterial SSU rRNA". It matches the Rfam family "Bacterial small subunit ribosomal RNA", at positions 61 to 790 of the family's 1533-position model. Lineage: Bacteria; Bacillati; Bacillota; Bacilli; Lactobacillales; Streptococcaceae. The record is from RNAcentral.